This 119-nucleotide ribosomal RNA is filed under the name Leptotrombidium deliense. The record is from RNAcentral. Lineage: Eukaryota; Metazoa; Arthropoda; Arachnida; Trombidiformes; Trombiculidae.
GUCUAUGACCACACCACAUUGAGUACACCAGGUCUCGUCUGAUCCCUGAAGUUAAUCAACGUUGGGCCGAGUCAGUACCUGGCACGUAGACCAUCUGGGAACACUCGGUGUCGUAGACA